This 492-nucleotide ribosomal RNA is filed under the name uncultured bacterium. RNAcentral's name for it is "partial 16S ribosomal RNA". It matches the Rfam family "Bacterial small subunit ribosomal RNA", at positions 29 to 507 of the family's 1533-position model. The record is from RNAcentral.
AGUGAACGCUGGCGGUAGGCCUAACACAUGCAAGUCGAACGGCAGCACAGUAAGAGCUUGCUCUUACGGGUGGCGAGUGGCGGACGGGUGAGGAAUACAUCGGAAUCUACUUUUUCGUGGGGGAUAACGUAGGGAAACUUACGCUAAUACCGCAUACGACCUACGGGUGAAAGCAGGGGAUCUUCGGACCUUGCGCGAUUGAAUGAGCCGAUGUCGGAUUAGCUAGUUGGCGGGGUAAAGGCCCACCAAGGCGACGAUCCGUAGCUGGUCUGAGAGGGUGAAUCGGCAAAACGGAAAUGAGAAAACGUCCAGAACCCUAACGGAGGGAGCAGUAGGGAAAUUUCGGAAAAGGGGCGAAGCCUGAACCCGCAACACCGGGUGGGGGAAGAAGGGCUUCCGGUUGUAAAACCCUUUUUUUUGGAAAGAAAAAACGCCGGGUAAUACCCCGCUGUUCUGACGGUACCCAAAGAAUAAGCACCGGCUAACUUCGUG